Tetrahymena thermophila SB210 is the source of this 77-nucleotide small nucleolar RNA. It matches the Rfam family "Small nucleolar RNA SNORD24". From Rfam's summary of the family: U24 is a member of the C/D class of snoRNA which contain the C (UGAUGA) and D (CUGA) box motifs. NCBI's taxonomy places the organism in Eukaryota, Ciliophora, Oligohymenophorea, Hymenostomatida, Tetrahymenidae. The record is from Rfam.
UAUAGUUGAUGACAAUCAUAUUUGCUACUCUUGACUCGAAAGGGGUUGAUGAUUAUACCACCAAGAUCUCUGAAAAA